Long non-coding RNA from Hibiscus syriacus, 186 nucleotides. RefSeq lists it as uncharacterized. The transcript is spliced from 2 exons. Lineage: Eukaryota; Viridiplantae; Streptophyta; Magnoliopsida; Malvales; Malvaceae. The record is from RefSeq and is a predicted model, not a curated record.
AGCUGAAGUACAGCUAGUAAGGAUGAAUGAUUGACGUAUCUAAUAGUAAUACCUUAAGGUUUUAUUUUAGUAAAAUUAAUGUGUGAUAUUCCUGGAAAUAACUAAAUGCAGCAGCAAGCAGAGGACAAUACUCGGUUCUAGUCCCGGAACCUGCUUUUAAUAGGCUCAGGUUCGCUUGUUGGGUUC